Molecule: transfer RNA, 73 nt
Filed under: Akkermansia muciniphila
Lineage: Bacteria; Pseudomonadati; Verrucomicrobiota; Verrucomicrobiia; Verrucomicrobiales; Akkermansiaceae
Description: tRNA-SeC
Source: RNAcentral
GCGCCCGUAGUGGGAGGGGUGUACGUCCCGGACUUCAAAUCCGGCCCGGUCACGGUUCAGGCCGCCGGGCCCC